This 157-nucleotide long non-coding RNA is filed under the name Rhipicephalus microplus (southern cattle tick). RNAcentral describes it as "uncharacterized LOC119187520". The record is from RNAcentral. Lineage: Eukaryota; Metazoa; Arthropoda; Arachnida; Ixodida; Ixodidae.
GAAAAUAUGCAGGCCAGCGGCUAUGCGUUGGCGGGCGAACGUGAAAAUGGAUUUCAAGAAGAGCCGGAAAGUCACGGCGCAGUUGGAUUUUCGUUCGAGAGACAAGAUGAGCUGUUUCCUGAAGACGAGCCCGAAGAACCUGCAGAUUCUCCCGCUA